This is a long non-coding RNA of Stylophora pistillata, 295 nucleotides long. NCBI's taxonomy places the organism in Eukaryota, Metazoa, Cnidaria, Anthozoa, Scleractinia, Pocilloporidae. The record is from RefSeq and is a predicted model, not a curated record.
CAGAUAACAGUAUGCCAAGUGGAGACAAGAAAGAAAAGAUCAAGAGGAGGAACUGGAAAAUGAGAUAAGGAAAGCAAGAGAAUUGCGGAUAUCUGAGGAACCACAAUUAGGUCGGCAAAUAAAGGUGACAGACCUAGAGGGAAAACAAUGGAUGCGAAAAUUCAAGGAAACAGCAUGCUUCCAAGAAGUGUAUGACUGGUUGGGAAGUUCCAAAACAAUUCCAUUGUAUUUCAACCUUCAAAGGGGCAACAAUGUCCUUAAGCACUGUGACCAGCUGCAGGGUGAUGAGGUUCUU